CCUACGGGAGGCAGCAGUGAGGAAUAUUGGUCAAUGGGCGGAAGCCUGAACCAGCCAAGUAGCGUGCAGGAUGACGGCCCUACGGGUUGUAAACUGCUUUUAUACGGGAAUCACGCGCCUUACGUGUAGGACUUUGCAUGUACCGUAUGAAUAAGGACCGGCUAAUUCCGUGCCAGCAGCCGCGGUAAUACGGAAGGGCCGGGCGUUAUCCGGAUUUAUUGGGUUGAAAGGGAGCGUAGGCCGGAUGUCACGCUUGCUGUGAAAUGUCCGGGCGCAACCCGGGCCUUGCAGGGCAAACUGGCGUGCUUGAGUCCGCGGAAGGCAGGCGGAAUUCGUCGUGUAGCGGUGAAAUGCUUAGAUA
RNAcentral lists this ribosomal RNA (361 nucleotides) under uncultured bacterium. RNAcentral's name for it is "partial 16S ribosomal RNA". It matches the Rfam family "Bacterial small subunit ribosomal RNA", at positions 338 to 696 of the family's 1533-position model. The record is from RNAcentral.